GAUGAACGCUGGCGGCGUGCCUAAUACAUGCAAGUCGAACGAACAGACAGUGAGCUUGCUCCUCUACCGUUAGCGGCGGACGGGUGGGUAACACGUGGAUAACCUACCUCUAAUACGUGGAUGACUUCGGAGAGCCGGAGCUACUACCGGAUCAUAUAUUGAACCGCAUGGUUCAGUAGUUAAUGACGGUUUUGCUGUCUCUUAUAGCUGGUUCCGCGCCGCAUUGGCUGGGUGGUAAGGUAACGGCCUACCAAGGCAACGAUGCGUGGCCGACCCGAGAGGGUGAUCCGCCACACUGGAACUUAGACACGGUUCAGACUCCUACGGGAGGCAGCAGUAGGGAAUCUUCCGCAAUGGGCGAAAGCCCGACGGAGCAACGCCGCGGGAGGUAUGAAGGUCUUCGGAGCGGAAAACCCUGUUAGUAGGGAAGAAAAAACGGGUAAGUAACUAUGCACGGCUUGACGGUAACUAAAAAGAAAGCCACGGCUAACUACGUG
RNAcentral lists this ribosomal RNA (497 nucleotides) under uncultured bacterium. RNAcentral describes it as "partial 16S ribosomal RNA". It matches the Rfam family "Bacterial small subunit ribosomal RNA", at positions 28 to 507 of the family's 1533-position model. The record is from RNAcentral.